This is a long non-coding RNA of Dermochelys coriacea (leatherback sea turtle), 439 nucleotides long. RefSeq lists it as uncharacterized. The transcript has 4 exons. The record is from RefSeq and is a predicted model, not a curated record. Lineage: Eukaryota; Metazoa; Chordata; Testudines; Dermochelyidae.
UGACGCUCAGCUUCUGGCCAACCUUCAGCCAUGAAGAUCCUUUUCCUGCUGUUUGCUGUGGUCUUCUUGAUGCUCAUGGAUGCCCCAGGGUUCUCCUAGGCUCAGCUGACCUGAAAGGAAUGUGCGCACCAUGCAGCAUCCUGUUACCUUAGAGGAUGUCCUGCUAAAUCUCUAUACCUUGCAAGAUGCCAUCCUCAAGGUGUUUGCUGUCGAAAAUGGACUGAUUGUCCAGGCAGGAUCUCCGGGAAUCUGGGAGACAGCCACUUGCUUCUAAAAUCAUCAGAUCCUGUUUCAAUGGAACCCUGAAGUGGUGCUGUUCAUUUGGGCUUUAAAGAACCUUGUGAGCUGGAGAAAUGUAGAAGGGAGCUCUUUUAGCACCCCUAUAAGAUUUGUUACUCCCUUUUUAAUAAAAGCAAGCUGGUGUGAGAGAUUGGAAGAG